AAUACAUCUAGUGGCGGACGGGUGAGGAAUACGUAGGAAUUUGCCUUAGAGCGGGGGAUAGCCCAGGGAAACUUGGAGUAAUACCGCAUGAUGUCGAAAGACCAAAGCAGGGGACCGCAAGGCCUUGCACUCUGAGAGAAGCCUACGUCUGAUUAGCUAGUUGGUAGGGUAAUGGCCUACCAAGGCGACGAUCAGUAACUGGUCUGAGAGGACGAUCAGUCACACCGGAACUGAGACACGGUCCGGACUCC
Molecule: ribosomal RNA, 251 nt
Filed under: uncultured bacterium
Lineage: Bacteria
Description: partial 16S ribosomal RNA
Rfam family: Bacterial small subunit ribosomal RNA
Source: RNAcentral